AUUGAACGCUGGCGGCAUGCCUAACACAUGCAAGUCGAACGGUAACAGGCCCUUCGGGGUGCUGACGAGUGGCGGAUGGGUGAGUAAUACUUAGGAAUCUACCCUGUAGUGGGGGACGAACCCGGGGAAACGUCGGGCUAAUACCGCAUACGCUCUACGGAGGAAAGCGGGGACCGGCAAGGCCUCGCGCUAUUGGAUGAGCCUAAGCCCGAUUAGCUAGUUGGUGGGGUAAUAGCCUACCAAGGCAAUGAUCGGUAGCUGGUCUGAGAGGACGACCAGCCACACUGGGACUGAGACACGGCCCAGACUCCUACGGGAGGGCAGCAGUGGGGAAUAUUGGACAAUGGGCGAAAGCCUGAUCCAGCGAUGCCGCGUGUGUGAAGAAGGCCUGCGGGGCUGU
This 400-nucleotide ribosomal RNA is filed under the name uncultured bacterium. RNAcentral describes it as "bacterial SSU rRNA". It matches the Rfam family "Bacterial small subunit ribosomal RNA", at positions 29 to 426 of the family's 1533-position model. The record is from RNAcentral.